Long non-coding RNA from Triticum urartu, 2951 nucleotides. RefSeq lists it as uncharacterized. Lineage: Eukaryota; Viridiplantae; Streptophyta; Magnoliopsida; Poales; Poaceae. The record is from RefSeq and is a predicted model, not a curated record.
AAAAAUGAGAAAUGAUUACAAUAAUUAAAAAGGGCAUAUUAUCAAUAGGAAAAGAAAAAGUAGGGCAAAUCAUCAAACAGAAUAUAAAGCAGGGCAAAUUAUCAACUGCCCAAAUAAAGUGGGGCAUAUUAUCCAAUCUCCCCACCGCCACCCGUGUGCAGCUCCGCCAUCGCCUCCCUCCAUUGCUGAUCUCCAUCUUAUCUCUUUCUGCAAGGGGGGCUCGUCCUUACAUGGUGCUCAACCGGGGAUUGAGAUUUGGAGGGAGACUAGGGAGACCCCGGCGAAAACGAGCGUGCUAGCGGAGGCUCCGGGAAUGCAGGGUGAUAGGGCCCAGUCUAUGCUCCCGUUGUGUUGUUGCUUCUGGACGGGAUUUAGACAAGGAAACGGAGACCCGUGCAAAAUCGAGCAUCCUGGUGGUGCCUCGACCAAAGCGGGUCGACGGAUAGCGCCGGUGAGCACGGAGCAUGGUGCAGCGAGUUGGAUAGGCGGUAAGAGAGGUGACCACGGGUGUGGCUUGGGGAGCUCCGCACACAUGAAGUGAUGAUGAGUGCAUCCGACCCCACCAUGCUGCUGGUCCUGGAGAACAAGGUAUUGGCAUUUGUCAUUGUACAACACUAGCGAACCGGCAAGCAAUGAAGUUGUUUAUUCCAUUCCCCUGUAAACUAUGAACUGAAUGGCUACUGUGUUGAUGUAUAUUUGUUUAACUGAAGUUUAGUUUUAUUAUGUCCAUACCUUUGAUUCGUUCUACUUUAGUGUGGUCUGAGAUAUAAUGAUUUAUUAUAUGUGUAUCACAUAUCUAUUUAUACUUAGUUUGGAAAUUGCAGCAUCCUCUCCUAACUGUCUGAAUGGGGGCUUUUAGCUAAUUAUUACCAAGCACUUAAAUUUCUAAAACUGAAAAGAUAUUAAAGAAACACAAACUGUUUCAGAAUACUCCAGGAUUGAAUUUGGUCAUUGCGCCUUAAUAAGAUAUCAAUCAAAAGCUUAGUGAAAAAUAAAUAUAUUACCAACGCGAGGUACUGAAUUAAAAUGUGCAUCUACAUCUUAUUGUACAGAACAAGCUUACUUAUUUUAAUUAAAGGGGUAUAUAUAUAUAUAUAUAUAUAUAUAUAUAUAUAUAUCAAAUCAGUAUAGUCCUUUUUAACUUUGAGCUAACACAGAAAAUUGUAUAGAGAAAAUUUACGAUCGCAUUUUGAAAACUCUAUUGCAUAGUUUGAACCUUCAAUUUUCAUUACUAAAAGGAUCGUUGGUAUUGCCAAAUUGCCAAGCAUUUAUUUUCAAUUACUCUUGGUUUGGCAUGGACACUGUGUCAUUUGGCGCCAUUCGAUGCCCAACUCCUAUCAUUUGUUGCAUUUAUCUAUUCUAGAUAAAAUGAAAUGAAUCUUCAGUGUUGGGACUAAUGAUUGACACUUGUUGUCUAAAUGCAGUACAUGCGCAUUGCAGCGGUAAUGUUGUUAACUGUCCCUGUAUAUUCCUUAGUUAGAUGUCUAAUAAAUCAAGAAUUUGACACUUGUCAGUAAGUUCAGUAUAUCAUCGUUUACUUAGACAAAAUACAUCAUGGUCAAACAAUACACAUAUUUCACAAGUAGAAAAGGCAUACAAAUAUUAAUUUCCAGUAAAAUGAUGAAGUGUUCAGAUAUAUCAAUGCUUUCACCUCACUUGUCAUGCUGUUAUGAACUAUAUUUUUUGUGUAAUUGCUAUAUCAGAAUCGAAGUAACCCAUUCGACGCUUGACUGUAUCUUAGCAUGCUUAUUGAGUACAUUCCUUAUGUCAUUUUUACAGAUAAAUUAUUUUGUGUCAAGUAUCGCUUUUUGCCAUAUGGACAUGACAAGUUGUCAUACAUCGGCCUGUCAAAUUUAUCGGGUGCCAAGUUCACUUGCCAUAUUCUCAAUUUUGUUUCUUCUAAUUUUGGUGUUGGUGUGUGUAUUGUUAGUGAAAAUAUGCUCAUAGUUUUUUUUAAAAUAUGUGUACGCCAUUAACUGAUGUCAUUGUGUUUUCCAAGGGUAUAUGAACCAGAAAUGAUGUGAUAUACUUGGUUAUUUGAACAUGAAGGUCAACCGCGGGGUGGCGCGACAUGGACGAAACCAUACAUGGAUCCUUUGCCUCCUUUAUUGCUCAGACCCCAUGAUACAACCUCGGCGGCUGUCCAGCGACUAACAGGUGAAUAGACAGUCAACAAAUGUGUAAUCAGCUUUCCCUGGGUCCUGCAUCAUCUACAAAUAAUCAAAUUUUGUGGCGAGCGUCUUAUAAGUCAGCAUACCUAUUUCUCUACACUGGAUAGCUUUUAUUGUGACUACAAAGAAUAUACUUUGAGGAUGGCAUGCCAAUUGUUCUAUGUCUUGGGGUCCUCCACCUAUGGUGAAAAUAGCUCACAUGAUGAUGUUGGAUAUUCUUCUACAAACUUCUGGCCUACCAGUGGCUGAGUAUCGAAGCAAAAUGUGACAGUUGCAUGAUGUGCUUGACUGUUUAUUUGCAUACAGCAAUAUCAUCUUUUGGAGAUAUAAACAGCCGUAUGGCUGUUACAUGAGACCAUGUCGGAAGACCCUGCUGCUAUGUAAGGAAAAGGAUUCAUGAUACCCGCGGUGAAAACAGAGAUAAGAUGAUACAGUUAGAGCAGCAUUGAGAAACCAAGGACACGAAAUGAGUCUGAAAAAUGCUAUGGGCUGAUUCGUUCUAGCUAGGCUAUGUGUGGUAGAAGUUGUACUCACAGGAAGACUAUCGUGCUUUGUAUAAACCACGUUCUAUGAUUCACUUCUAUUAUGCUUAUUUACAUUCCAGUGUUAGGACUGAAAUCCAUCUAUUUAAUGAAUUUGGUUGUAUUGGCAUUACCUAUUUGACUUAGGCUUGGUUCAUCACAUAUAGCCUGUUUUUCUUGUAACCCGCUACUUGUAUGACCUAAAACUGUCAUGUAUAAGGCAAGUUAUUAGCAAUGUUUCACAUUUUCUUACUUGCAA